RNAcentral lists this ribosomal RNA (425 nucleotides) under uncultured bacterium. RNAcentral's name for it is "bacterial SSU rRNA". It matches the Rfam family "Bacterial small subunit ribosomal RNA", at positions 354 to 796 of the family's 1533-position model. The record is from RNAcentral.
GUGGGGAAUAUUGGACAAUGGGCGCAAGCCUGAUCCAGCAAUGCCGCGUGAGUGAUGAAGGCCUUCGGGUUGUAAAGCUCUUUCACCGAUGACGAUAAUGACGGUAGUCGGAGAAGAAGCCCCGGCUAACUCCGUGCCAGCAGCCGCGGUAAUACGGAGGGGGCUAGCGUUGUUCGGAAUCACUGGGCGUAAAGCGUACGUAGGCGGAUUGCCAAGUUGGAGGUGAAAGCCCAGGGCUUAACCCUGGAACUGCCUUCAAAACUGGCGAUCUAGAGGAUGGUAGAGGUGAGUGGAAUUCCGAGUGUAGAGGUGAAAUUCGUAGAUAUUCGGAAGAACACCAGUGGCGAAGGCGGCUCACUGGACCAUUACUGACGCUGAGGUACGAAAGCGUGGGGAGCAAACAGGAUUAGAAACCCCAGUAGUCC